AGGAGUGAAGACGGCUGCCAUGUUCCACCCACCAUCCACCACACACAGUGAGGCGUCACUCCAGGACCUUGCUUCAGACAGGCUCCAUCUCUCUCCGUUUAUGUCCUUUGAACACCUUGGAAAAAAAAACACUUCUUGCCUUCACAAUUGGGGGUUUAUUUUGCCAUAAUAUUACAAAUUUGUCCAUCUUGGGAGGUACUUUGUGUGCUUUGCCCUGAUUGCAGAAAAGAGAGAAAUUUCACAUGGAGAUAUAUUUGGUUUCUGCACAAUAGAUAAAACAGCCACCUCUUCCAGUCUUGAAAGAGUGGAACUACGUAGGGGUUGAAACUUGUCAUUCAGCCUACCCUCUGCUCUUGAAGUCCUGUGGGAGUGAUGAAGUGCAAGUUUGGAAGACUCCCAAUGUAAGAGAAUGAGCAAUUACCAGAUGAUUGAUUUCUUAAGAUCAGAGGUCUGUUUUACUCCUUUUGAUUUCACCAUUGCCAGGUAAAGUACCUGAAACACUGAGACUACAUGCACAUGCAUUAAAUAUAUAUGUACUUAUACAUUGUAGGAUAUAUAGCAUAUAUGUUUAUAUAUUAUGCCAUCAGCAAAUUAUCAGUAUAUAACAUAUUAAUAAAUUUACUUUAUCAAUUGAUUAGCCUAGGGGAAUGGGAUAUUAGGAGUUUUUAUCUGGUCAUGUCUCUUCAGAUGUAUUUAUUGGCCUAGACAUUGCCUAAUUUAUUUAUUUAUUGUUUUGUUUUUUCUCGGCUAUAACCCAUGGCUAAGGGUUAAAUCAGAGCUGCAGCUGCUGGCCAACACCACAGCCAUAGCAACACCAGAUCCAAGCCGUGUCUAUGACCUACACUGUGGCUCUUGGCAACACUGCAGAUCAGAUCCUCAAACCACUGAGUGGGACCAGGGAUUGAACCUGCAUCGUUAUGGAUACUAUUCAGGUUACCAAAGCCUUUCCUUACUCAGCCAGGUUCCCAGUGCCAACAAAUCUAACCAUGAACCAUUAGAUAAAUCUAAUGGUGAAGGACCAGUGCU
Molecule: long non-coding RNA, 1026 nt
Filed under: Sus scrofa (pig)
Lineage: Eukaryota; Metazoa; Chordata; Mammalia; Artiodactyla; Suidae
Description: lncRNA (ENSSSCG00005035141.1)
Source: RNAcentral